UACGUAGGGACCAAGCGUUGUUCGGAUUUACUGGGCGUAAAGGGCGCGUAGGCGGCGCGGUAAGUCACUUGUGAAAUCUCUGAGCUUAACUCAGAACGGCCAAGUGAUACUGCAGUGCUAGAGUGUGGAAGGGGCAAUCGGAAUUCUUGGUGUAGCGGUGAAAUGCGUAGAUAUCAAGAGGAACACCGGUGGCGAAGGCGGGACUCUGGGCCGAUACUGACGCUGAGGAGCGAAAGCGUGGGGAGCAAACAGG
RNAcentral lists this ribosomal RNA (253 nucleotides) under uncultured bacterium. RNAcentral's name for it is "partial 16S ribosomal RNA". It matches the Rfam family "Bacterial small subunit ribosomal RNA", at positions 524 to 776 of the family's 1533-position model. The record is from RNAcentral.